UACGUAGGGGGCAAGCGUUGUCCGGAAUCAUUGGGCGUAAAGCGCGUGUAGGCGGCCCGGUAAGUCCGCUGUGAAAGUCCAGGGCCUACCACCGUGGAUGCCGGUGGAUACUGUCGGGCUCGAGUCCGGAAGAGGAGUGUGGAAUUCCUGGUGUAGCGGUGAAAUGCGCAGAUAUCAGGAGGAACACCAGUGGCGAAGGCGAUCACCUGGGGUUGUUCUGACGCUGAGGAGCGAAAGCUAGGGGAGCAAACGGG
This 254-nucleotide ribosomal RNA is filed under the name uncultured bacterium. RNAcentral describes it as "partial 16S ribosomal RNA". It matches the Rfam family "Bacterial small subunit ribosomal RNA", at positions 524 to 776 of the family's 1533-position model. The record is from RNAcentral.